GGUGGUAAAUGUAAAGUUAGUGAAUGCAGAGGGUUCGGAGAUCCUAUCUAUCCAUCCCUCCGGUGGGCUGCCGCAUCUUAUGGCGGUUCUGCCCAACUUUGGGUAUUCUAAGGGUUACCAGUAAUAGUAGCAAUUAUGUUUCAUCCCUCCGGAACGUAAUUGCCACUACUGUGGCCUCAAAAUCUCAUUCUGGAACUGUCUUUUGUUGUCUUGCUCCAUCACGGAUGAGAAGGAAGGUGGUGGUGACAUCACCCAACAAAGCAUGAGACUGAGAAUCCUGGGCAGAAGGCAGAGCUAUGAACUUCAGUUACUGCAACGGCCGGAGACGUGGCCAAGCUGGACCUCUGGGCCUAUCAGAUCGGUAGACCGUGAUCGCAGGGAAGGCGAUGCCGACCCACGACCCAGUGGCAGCUAUGAUUAAACUGUGUUAGAUCUCUGUAGUGCCUUUCGGCAGAGCAGAGCAUUGCCCUUUGAUGGCAUAUGUCUGAAACCUAAGACUGAUC
This 503-nucleotide long non-coding RNA is filed under the name Androctonus crassicauda. The record is from RNAcentral. Lineage: Eukaryota; Metazoa; Arthropoda; Arachnida; Scorpiones; Buthidae.